GCGGCACGCCUAAUACAUGCAAGUCGAACGAAGUAGCAAUACUUAGUGGCGAACGGGUGAGUAUAAUGUGGGUAUCUGCCUUUUGGUUUGGAAUAACACGAGGAAACUUGUGCUAAUACCGGAUAAGCCCUUACGGGGAAAGUUUUAACGCCGAAAGAUGAGCCCGCACCUGAUUAGCUAGUUGGUAGGGUAAAAGCCUACCAAGGCUACGAUCAGUAGCUGAUCUGAGAGGAUGAUCAGCCACAUUGGGACUGAGACACGGCCCAGACUCCUACGGGAGGCAGCAGUAGGGAAUCUUGCACAAUGGGGGAAACCCUGAUGCAGCGAUGCCGCGUGAGUGAAGAAGGCCUUUGGGUUGUAAAGCUCUUUCGUCGGGGAAGAAAAUGACUGUACCCGAAUAAGAAGGUCCGGCUAACUUCGUGCCAGCAGCCGCGGUAAUACGAAGGGACCUAGCGUAGUUCGGAAUUACUGGGCUUAAAGAGUUCGUAGGUGGUUAGAGAAGUUGAUGGUGAAAUCCCAAGGCUCAACCUUGGAACUGCCAUCAAAACUUUUUAACUAGAGUAUGAUAGAGGAGAGCGGAAUUUCUAGUGUAGAGGUGAAAUUCGUAGAUAUUAGAAAGAACACCGAUUGCGAAGGCAGCUUUCUGGAUCAUUACUGACACUGAGGAGCGAAAGCAUGGGUAGCGAAGAGGAUUAGAUACCCUCGUAGUCCAUGCUGUAAACGAUGUGUGCUAGACGUUGGAAAUUUAUUUUCAGUGUCGCAGCAAAAGCGUUAAGCACACCGCCUGGGGAG
RNAcentral lists this ribosomal RNA (792 nucleotides) under uncultured Pelagibacteraceae bacterium. RNAcentral's name for it is "bacterial SSU rRNA". It matches the Rfam family "Bacterial small subunit ribosomal RNA", at positions 39 to 880 of the family's 1533-position model. Lineage: Bacteria; Pseudomonadati; Pseudomonadota; Alphaproteobacteria; Candidatus Pelagibacterales; Candidatus Pelagibacteraceae. The record is from RNAcentral.